RNAcentral lists this ribosomal RNA (253 nucleotides) under uncultured bacterium. RNAcentral describes it as "partial 16S ribosomal RNA". It matches the Rfam family "Bacterial small subunit ribosomal RNA", at positions 524 to 776 of the family's 1533-position model. The record is from RNAcentral.
UACGAGUGCCCCGAGCGUUAUCCGGAAUCAUUGGGCGUAAAGGGUGUGUAGGCGGUUUUGUUAGUCUUCUGUCAAAUUCUUCGGCUUAACCGGGGGCUCGCAGAGGAAACGGCAAAACUUGAGGAUGGGAGAGGUGAAUGGAACUCAUGGUGUAGGGGUGAAAUCCGUUGAUAUCAUGGGGAACACCAAAAGCGAAGGCAAUUCACUGGCCCACUCCUGACGCUGAAACACGAAAGCGUGGGUAGCGAAUGGG